GACGAACGCUGGCGGCGUGCUUAACACAUGCAAGUCGAACGGAAAGGCCCUGCUUUUGUGGGGUGCUCGAGUGGCGAACGGGUGAGUAACACGUGAGUAACCUGCCCUUGACUUUGGGAUAACUUCAGGAAACUGGGGCUAAUACCGGAUAGGAGCUCCUGCUGCAUGGUGGGGGUUGGAAAGUUUCGGCGGUUGGGGAUGGACUAGCGGCUUAUCCGCUUGUUGGUGUGGUAGUGGCUUACCAAGCCUUUGACGGGUAGCCGGCCUGAGAGGGUGACCGGCCACAUGGGGACUAAGAUACGGCCCAGACUCCUACGGGAGGCAGCAGUGGGGAAUAUUGCACAAUGGGCGGAAGCCUGAUGCAGCAACGCCGCGUGCGGGAUGACGGCCUUCGGGUUGUAAACCGCUUUCGCCUGUGACGAAGCGUGAGUGACGGUAAUGGGUAAAGAAGCACCGGCUAACUACGUG
RNAcentral lists this ribosomal RNA (468 nucleotides) under uncultured bacterium. Its description in RNAcentral is "partial 16S ribosomal RNA". It matches the Rfam family "Bacterial small subunit ribosomal RNA", at positions 28 to 507 of the family's 1533-position model. The record is from RNAcentral.